CGGAUCUGCUUGGUGUGCUCCAAAUUCAGAUAGCAGCGAAGAAAAGGCUGAUGGGGGUAUCGCAGAAAACGGAGCGCCCUUGGGGCUGUAGCCUAAGCGUCUCCCCUCCCUUCCUCACGCCGAGAACAAUGUAGGGACUACUAAGGGACGCCGGGACGGACGUGUGGGAAUCCAGCAUUCCUCCAGCCCCUUUCCUCCUGCCCCCUUCCCCCAAUCUCGCCCACAGCUGCUUGCACUGGGGAAAGUCCCCUAGCCUUGAUCGGACCUGUCCUAGAAGCCUCAACUACAGAACCUAGAAAGGUCUGUUCUGCCGGGAAAGGACAGCUAGAGCCAGCUGGGCCCCACCACGACCUGAUCGGCUCCUCAGCCAAGCUAGAGGCCUGGGCCAGGUGGAAGACAGUGACUGGUAGCCUGUUCCUAGCCUUCAUGGUACACCCAGGCCCAGAGCCUGGGGCACAUAAACUUCCCAGAACACAUGUCAGGUCCCUGGCACAAGGACCA
This 501-nucleotide long non-coding RNA is filed under the name Mus caroli (Ryukyu mouse). Its description in RNAcentral is "lncRNA (MGP_CAROLIEiJ_G0003163.1)". Lineage: Eukaryota; Metazoa; Chordata; Mammalia; Rodentia; Muridae. The record is from RNAcentral.